CUCCAGCUAUUGACAAUGACUACAGUAUAUAAGCGGUAUACAAAAAUAGUUUGUAACUCACCUAUAGAUAAAUAUCUAUCUCAUCCACGUACCGCUUGUUCUGCUUCUGUCCGAGUGAACUUUACAACGGCCAGAUUUCGAAAGCACGGCUAUAUACAUUUUUAAUUAAUACGGUGUUGAUUCAAAGCGCAUCUAGCACUGCAGCUACCCUUUUUAAUUUUAAUAGUCUAUGAACAUUAUUCUAAUCAAGCUUGGUUUAACUUAACCAAUGAAUGCGUUAUAUUAGGAUUCAUUUUUUCCAUACUCUGGCAUCAAACUAUAUGAAACGAUCACAUUCGGUCGAACGAUAUGCU
Molecule: long non-coding RNA, 353 nt
Filed under: Paramuricea clavata
Lineage: Eukaryota; Metazoa; Cnidaria; Anthozoa; Malacalcyonacea; Plexauridae
Source: RNAcentral